GAUGAACGCUGGCGGCGUGCCUAAUACAUGCAAGUCGAGCGAACAGACGAGGAGCUUGCUCCUCUGACGUUAGCGGCGGACGGGUGAGUAACACGUGGAUAACCUACCUAUCAGACUGGGAUAACUUCGGGAAACCGGAGCUAAUACCGGAUAAUCUAUUGAACCGCAUGGUUCAAUAGUGAAAGACGGUUUUGCUGUCACUUAUAGAUGGAUCCGCGCCGCAUUAGCUAGUUGGUAAGGUAACGGCUUACCAAGGCAACGAUGCGUAGCCGACCUGAGAGGGUGAUCGGCCACACUGGAACUGAGACACGGUCCAGACUCCUACGGGAGGCAGCAGUAGGGAAUCUUCCGCAAUGGGCGAAAGCUUGACGGAGCAACGCCGCGUGAGUGAUGAAGGUCUUCGGAUCGUAAAACUCUGUUAUUAGGGAAGAACAAAUGUGUAAGUAACUAUGCACGUCUUGACGGUACCUAAUCAGAAAGCCACGGCUAACUACGUG
RNAcentral lists this ribosomal RNA (497 nucleotides) under uncultured bacterium. RNAcentral's name for it is "partial 16S ribosomal RNA". It matches the Rfam family "Bacterial small subunit ribosomal RNA", at positions 28 to 507 of the family's 1533-position model. The record is from RNAcentral.